UAUCCUGAUGAACUUGGGUUCGACUCUAACCAUCCCUCUUUUAACAAUUUUUUUUUUGCCAUUUAGGUCUACCAGAGGAGAGAGGUAAAACGUUACAGCCUGUCUCUCUCCUUCAAAACCCUCUCUCAAGACACACACAGCAGGCCUUCGAACACCACAAACAUUGUCGCUUUUCCGAUCAAAACCUUGGUGGCAUUCAUCACGGGAAAGACAAAGUACAUGAGCGGGAGAUGAUGAUUUGUGGUGGUGAGCAACCAGAGCGACGAUAUGGGUAUAAGAAGAAAGCCCGAGCAUAAGAAAGGGUUUUGGACAAAGAGAGGUGCUGGCUCUAGGGUUCCGGCUGUUGGUCCUGGCAACGACCAUAACCGACGGUCCCGCGAGCCCAGUGGUGGUAGCGAUUUGGGUUGAUGUAAAACGGUGGAAGUGUUCAGGUUUUGACAGAGGAGUGACGACUGCCGUUUGAAGGCUUGGUAUUCCGGCGAGGUGUUUUCCGGUCUAGAUCCAGACAAUAUUCCGGGUUAUUCUAGACCUCCGACCAAAAUCCGGUGAACGACGGUGGUUGUAACGGUGAGUGGCGAAGAUGACACAAAUAUAAUGCGACGAGUAUCAUUGACGAGGUAAACUUUUAAAAUCCUUACUUUCCGUAAGCGUAGAUGUUAAUGUUUGUGCCGGAAUCGGUAAACGGCAAUGACUGUUACCAGUGGUAUUUUGAGAUGUUUAGAGAGGGCACUGUGGUGUUAGGCCAAAUAUACUUUUUAUGCAUUUCUAUGAAACUGAAGUUUUCAAAUAUUUUUGUUGUAGAUUUUAUGUAUUAUUCCUAAUGCUUUAGUUUUAAAUUUGAUGCAUUUUUGUGUUAAUCUGAAUUAAUUUUAUUAGUCGUGUCGCAUCUUCAUCCGCAGCUGGCUCAAGACAAGAUCUGGCUUAUAAAUUUUAUUAGUGUAUCCCUUUCAAAUUUUGAAUUUGAAAUUCUGGAUGGUAGUUAAUCUUUUCAUUUGAUUUUAACUCAAAUUUGUUUAAUAACUGCUUGAUUUGUGCUCACUUUGUUCAAAAUUUUCUAACAUUAUACCCCCAAUUGAAGUUUGAAAUUGUGUUAAUUUUAUAUGUUUCAUAUGUUAGCACAUUCAAGCAUAGAUGAUUCUUUGGCAUGUUGGUUCAGUUUAAAUCAAUUGAUAUAUCGAUGGGCUUUGGAUGAUUACUAUGGAAAGGGGACCGUGGUUAGGUACUGUGGUUCAUCUUUUACUUUUUAUUAGUUAGACUCAUUUAGUUUGGAAACUGAUAGAAAGUGGUAAUAUUGGUCUAACCCGGGCUUCAAAUACCAAUGCUUGCCUAAUGUUAACAAUCAACUUGAACUUGAGGUGCUGUUUAUAAUCAACGGUCGUCCAGAUCCGUUGCCGCCUCCAUUUGGUGUCAUCUUGUUUGCCUUACCGUUUUGCUCAUCGAACCCUUUAGGGUUCCAAGACGACAGUUGUCAGUGGCGAUGGUGGCAGGCUAUGGAUGGUGACGACGGAGUGUUUGUGGUCGUGGGCUUUUUUGAUAUAGAAUACUGUAUCAUUUAUCUUUAACUUAAUGAAUUUUAAAGUCUAUAUUUAUUUUUAAGAAGUCAAUCUCAAAUAAAUUGUAUUAGUAUUAGCUCAUACCUGACCUUUUAUCACCUUUAUUCGAUAGUCUAGAUGCAGCAUAAUGGUUAAGAUGUAGUUAUCAAUUUUCCUUUGUAUUAUUUAUUCAUAAUAGAAAAAGAGGAUUAUUAAUGAUCUAUAUUUAGCUGAUGUGAGAUCAACUGGAUCUUCAUGACCUUAUGCUUAGCCGUUAUCAUCAGAUUUAGAGAUACCAAACACAUGGGUAAUGCUUCAGGUAUGGUGUUUUAAGAAAAAAAUUAAACAGUUUGUUAAAUGCCUAAUAUACCUUUAAUUGAUUUCACUAUAUCGUGAUCAGGUUUGACGGGUAUAACGAUCAUGUUGGUUACUACUUGCUUGAUGUCUCUUAUUUUCGUCUUACACUGGCACCAAAAUGUUAUUCUUGCAAUCGCUUUUGUGGUGUUUUUUAGGAUGAUUGAAGCACUGUACUUUUCGGCUUUUCUUCUCAAGUUUCUAGAAGGGGCAUGGGUCCUCAUAGCACUCUCGCUCAUUUUCAUGCUUGUGAUGUACACGUGGCACUAUGAUACACUUAAAAACUAUGAAUUUAAUAUCCAAAACAAAGUAUCAUACACUUAAAAAAUAUGAAUUUGAUAUCCAUAACAAAGUAUCAGUUGAUUUGGCUACUGAGCAUGUGCCCGACACUUGGUUGGACCUUGCUAGCUAGAAAGCAUGCCGAGUUCCAAGACUCGGAACGAAAAAAAAAAGUUAAAGAGUGUUGUAUUGUUUUUUCACAGUGAAAUACUUCAAAGAGUACAAAUACUACAAGUUGGAUGGAUUGGCUAAAGUCCCAAAUGUCAACACAAGUUCAGCACCAAGCCAAACACCCACGUGGCAGGUUCCGUCGAUACAUCCGAUCUCCCCAGCUACAGUGUUCGGGUUGAAUCCUCCUAUUGUUUGCAGUAAUUCAAUUUAAGUAGCCGCAACGCGGCGACACGAAAAAAAACCUAGUUAGUUUAGUACUCAACAUUGUGACAAGAUUUCUUAGUACUCAACAUUGUAACAAAUGGAACAUUAAUACUUGAUUUUGCAACAAAAAACUAUUAGUACCAAACAUUGAAAUUUUACAAAAAACUAUUUAAAUUUGAUGAUUAAAUAAACGUGUGAAAUAAUUAUAUCUAUGUUUCCGGUUUUUUUAUAUAAAACGAUUAAGAAGUAGAAUAAAGUGGGUAAACUGAGAAAAAUUAUUUAAACUAGAGUUGUGUAUGGUCAGCUGGGUUGGUUUCAGGCCCAAACCAAACCGAAACCAAAAAUUCGGUGGAUUUUAAAGACCAUCGUUUCAAUUAGAAUUUUGGUCGUUUAUCGUUUAGUUGUCAUGUAGGUUGGAUUGGUUUUGGUUGACUUGGGCCUAGGGGCCGGGCUACAAUUAAAAAAAUAUAUUUCCGUACAUUUACAUUUACAUUUACAUUUACAUUUUCCUACAAGAGGGAAUAGUUCCCGUUUCUCAUUGGCUAAGAUGGGCGGCCACCCAAUGGCAUGUAGUGGCAUUACUAAUGUGAGGAAUAGUGUCAGGCUGCUGUCUGGCAAUUCCCCAUUGGUUCGGGUAUUUAUGAGUUUACCCCCGUUUAAAAUUACGAAUUUGCCCCAUGUUCAAAGUUACGAUUUUGCUCCGGGUUAAAAAUUACAAUAUCGUCAUCGUUUUAAUUUUUUUUUAAAUGUGUGUCAGGGAAUAGUGUCAGGCUGCUGCAUGGCACUCCUUCAUUGGCCCGGGUAUGUUACGAUUUUACCCCCAGUUCAAAAUUUCCUAUAUUUACAUUUUCCUAUGAGAGGAAAUAGUUCCCGUUUCUCAUUGGCUAAGAUGGGCGGUGUAAUAACCCGACUUUUCGGAUCGUUACCCAUCGAUGUCAUUUCUUUCUUAAUUGCUUGUACUCCCGAGAUUUCGAUUAACGUAAAAGGGUUAAACUAUAUUUUCAAUACGCAUUUUAAAACGCUUAUUCAAAACGCGGUUAUCGCAUGUAAACGGCGUUUACAACGCUUACUACUUAAUGCAUUAUAUCGCAUGUUACAUCGCUUGUUUA
Helianthus annuus (common sunflower) is the source of this 3649-nucleotide long non-coding RNA. RefSeq lists it as uncharacterized. The record is from RefSeq and is a predicted model, not a curated record. The transcript is spliced from 3 exons. Lineage: Eukaryota; Viridiplantae; Streptophyta; Magnoliopsida; Asterales; Asteraceae.